Molecule: ribosomal RNA, 397 nt
Filed under: uncultured bacterium
Lineage: Bacteria
Description: bacterial SSU rRNA
Rfam family: Bacterial small subunit ribosomal RNA
Source: RNAcentral
GAUGAACGCUAGCGGCAGGCCUAAUACAUGCAAGUCGAACGGUAAGGCCCUUUCGGGGGUACGACGAGUGGCGGACGGGUGCGUAACGCGUAUGCAACAUGCCUUCCAGCGGGGGAUAUACCAGGGAAACUUGGCGCAAUACCCCAUAGAAUUACGGGACCGCAUGGUCUUGUGAUUAAAACUACCGGUGCUGGGAGAUUGGCAUGCGUGACAUUAGCUAGUUGGCGGGGUAACGGCCCACCAAGGCGACGAUGUCUAGCUGGUCUGAGAGGAUGAUCAGCCACACCGGAACUGAGACACGGUCCGGACUCCUACGGGAGGCAGCAGUGGGGAAUAUUGCGCAAUGGGCGAAAGCCUGGACNCAGCCAUACCGCGUGUGUGAAGAAGGCCUCGGUUG